GUGCCAGCAGCCGCGGUAAUACGUAGGUGGCAAGCGUUGUCCGGAUUUAUUGGGCGUAAAGCGAACGCAGGCGGGAAGAUAAGUCAGCUGUGAAAGCCCUCGGCUCAACCGGGGAACGGCAACUGAAACUAUUUUUCUUGAGUGCAGAAGAGGAGAGUGGAACUCCAUGUGUAGCGGUGGAAUGCGUAGAUAUAUGGAAGAACACCAGUGGCGAAGGCGGCUCUCUGGUCUGUAACUGACGCUGAGGUUCGAAAGCAUGGGUAGCGAACAGGGAUUAGAUACCCUGGUAGUCCAUGCCGUAAACGAUGAGUGCUAAGUGUUGGGAGGUUUCCGCCUCUCAGUGCUGCAGCUAACGCAUUAAGCACUCCGCCUGGGGAGUACGACCGCAAGGUUAAAACUCAAAGGAAUUGACGGGGGCCCGCACAAGCGGUGGAGCAUGUGGUUUAA
Molecule: ribosomal RNA, 447 nt
Filed under: uncultured bacterium
Lineage: Bacteria
Description: bacterial SSU rRNA
Rfam family: Bacterial small subunit ribosomal RNA
Source: RNAcentral